UACAGAGGGGGCAAGCGUUGUUCGGAAUUACUGGGCGUAAAGGGGGCGUAGGCGGCAGAUCAAGUCAGCUGUGAAAUCUCCGAGCUUAACUCGGAACGGUCAGCUGAUACUGUUUUGCUAGAGUACAGAAGGGGCAAUCGGAAUUCUUGGUGUAGCGGUGAAAUGCGUAGAUAUCAAGAGGAACACCUGAGGUGAAGACGGGUUGCUGGGCUGAUACUGACGCUGAGGCGCGAAAGCUAGGGUAGCAAACGGG
This 253-nucleotide ribosomal RNA is filed under the name uncultured bacterium. RNAcentral's name for it is "partial 16S ribosomal RNA". It matches the Rfam family "Bacterial small subunit ribosomal RNA", at positions 524 to 776 of the family's 1533-position model. The record is from RNAcentral.